UAGGGAAUCUUCCGCAAUGGACGCAAGUCUGACGGAGCAACGCCGCGUGAGUGAAGAAGGAUUUCGGUUCGUAAAACUCUGUUGUUAGAGAAGAACAGCGCAUAGAGUAACUGUUAUGCGUGUGACGGUAUCUAACCAGAAAGCCACGGCUAACUACGUGCCAGCAGCCGCGGUAAUACGUAGGUGGCAAGCGUUGUCCGGAUUUAUUGGGCGUAAAGCGAGCGCAGGCGGUCAAUUAAGUCUGAUGUGAAAGCCCCCGGCUCAACCGGGGAGAGUCAUUGGAGACUGGUUGACUUGAGUGCAGAAGAGGAGAGAGGAAUUCCAUGUGUAGCGGUGAAAUGCGUAGAUAUAUGGAGGAACACCAGUGGCGAAGGCGACUCUCUGGUCUGUAACUGACGCGGAGGUUCGAAAGCGUGGGUAGCAAACAGG
RNAcentral lists this ribosomal RNA (429 nucleotides) under Bacteroidota bacterium. RNAcentral's name for it is "Bacteroidetes bacterium partial 16S ribosomal RNA". It matches the Rfam family "Bacterial small subunit ribosomal RNA", at positions 355 to 776 of the family's 1533-position model. Lineage: Bacteria; Pseudomonadati; Bacteroidota. The record is from RNAcentral.